UGAGGAAUAUUGCACAAUGGGGGGAACCCGUGAUGCAGCAAUGCCGCGUGUGUGAAGAAGGCCUGAGGGUUGUAAAGCACUUUCAAUUGUGAGGAAAAGCAGAAGGCCAAUACCCUUCUGUCUUGACGUUAACUUUAGAAGAAGCACCGGCUAACUCCGUGCCAGCAGCCGCGGUAAUACGGAGGGUGCAAGCGUUAUUCGGAAUCACUGGGCGUAAAGGACGCGUAGGCGGGAUGCCAAGUCUGAUGUGAAAUCCUAUGGCUUAACCAUAGAACUGCAUUGGAAACUGGUGACCUAGAGUAUGGGAGGGGGAGAUGGAAUUAGUGGUGUAGGGGUAAAAUCCGUAGAUAUCACUAGGAAUACCGAAAGCGAAGGCGAUCUCCUGGAACAAUACUGACGCUAAGGCGUGAAAGCGUGGGGAGCAAACG
RNAcentral lists this ribosomal RNA (428 nucleotides) under uncultured bacterium. Its description in RNAcentral is "bacterial SSU rRNA". It matches the Rfam family "Bacterial small subunit ribosomal RNA", at positions 355 to 774 of the family's 1533-position model. The record is from RNAcentral.